UAACACGUGAGUGACCUGCCUUUUAGACUGGAACAACUUACCGAAAGGUGAGCUAAUGCCGGAUGAGUUAUAUAAGUGCAUGUUUAUAUAGGAAAAGUUGGGGAGACCUGACGCUGAAAGAUGGACUCGCGUCCCAUUAGCUAGUUGGUAGGGUAAUGGCCUACCAAGGCGACGAUGGGUAGCCGGCCUGAGAGGGUGGCCGGCCACACUGGGACUGAGACACGGCCCAGACUCCUACGGAAGGCAGCAG
RNAcentral lists this ribosomal RNA (250 nucleotides) under uncultured bacterium. RNAcentral describes it as "partial 16S ribosomal RNA". It matches the Rfam family "Bacterial small subunit ribosomal RNA", at positions 111 to 354 of the family's 1533-position model. The record is from RNAcentral.